RNAcentral lists this ribosomal RNA (497 nucleotides) under uncultured bacterium. RNAcentral's name for it is "partial 16S ribosomal RNA". It matches the Rfam family "Bacterial small subunit ribosomal RNA", at positions 28 to 507 of the family's 1533-position model. The record is from RNAcentral.
GAUGAACGCUGGCGGCGUGCCUAAUACAUGCAAGUCGAGCGAACAGACGAGGAGCUUGCUCCUUUGACGUUAGCGGCGGACGGGUGAGUAACACGUGGGUAACCUACCUAUAAGACUGGGAUAACUUCGGGAAACCGGAGCUAAUACCGGAUAAUAUUUCGAACCGCAUGGUUCGAUAGUGAAAGAUGGCUCUGCUAUCACUUAUAGAUGGACCUGCGCCGUAUUAGCUAGUUGGUAUGGUAACGGCUUACCAAGGCAACGAUACGUAGCCGACCUGAGAGGGUGAUCGGCCACACUGGAACUGAGACACGGUCCAGACUCCUACGGGAGGCAGCAGUAGGGAAUCUUCCGCAAUGGGCGAAAGCCUGACGGAGCAACGCCGCGUGAGUGAUGAAGGUCUUCGGAUCGUAAAACUCUGUUAUUAGGGAAGAACAAACGUGUAAGUAACUGUGCACGUCUUGACGGUACCUAAUCAGAAAGCCACGGCUAACUACGUG